CCUACGGGGGGCAGCAGUGAGGAAUAUUGGUCAAUGGACGAGAGUCUGAACCAGCCAAGUAGCGUGAAGGAUGACUGCCCUAUGGGUUGUAAACUUCUUUUAUAUGGGAAUAAAAUGUUCCACGUGUGGGAUUUUGUAUGUACCAUCUGAAUAAGGAUCGGCUAACUCCGUGCCAGCAGCCGCGGUAAUACGGAGGAUCCGAGCGUUAUCCGGAUUUAUUGGGUUUAAAGGGAGCGUAGGUGGAUUGUUAAGUCAGUUGUGAAAGUUUGCGGCUCAACCGUAAAAUUGCAGUUGAAACUGGCAGUCUUGAGUACAGUAGAGGUGGGCGGAAUUCGUGGUGUAGCGGUGAAAUGCUUAGAUAUCACGAAGAACUCCGAUUGCGAAGGCAGUUCACUGGACUGCAACUGACACUGAGGCUCGAAAGUGUGGGUAUCAAACAGGAUUAGAUACCCCAGUAGUC
RNAcentral lists this ribosomal RNA (460 nucleotides) under uncultured bacterium. Its description in RNAcentral is "partial 16S ribosomal RNA". It matches the Rfam family "Bacterial small subunit ribosomal RNA", at positions 338 to 795 of the family's 1533-position model. The record is from RNAcentral.